This 448-nucleotide ribosomal RNA is filed under the name uncultured bacterium. RNAcentral's name for it is "bacterial SSU rRNA". It matches the Rfam family "Bacterial small subunit ribosomal RNA", at positions 355 to 825 of the family's 1533-position model. The record is from RNAcentral.
UCGGGAAUUUUGGGCAAUGGGGGAAACCCUGACCCAGCAACGCCGCGUGAAGGAUGAAGUAUUUCGGUAUGUAAACUUCGAAAGAAUAGGAAGAAUAAAUGACGGUACUAUUUAUAAGGUCCGGCUAACUACGUGCCAGCAGCCGCGGUAAUACGUAGGGACCAAGCGUUGUUCGGAUUUACUGGGCGUAAAGGGCGCGUAGGCGGCAUGACAAGUCACUUGUGAAAUCUCUGGGCUUAACCCAGAACGGCCAAGUGAUACUGUCGCGCUAGAGUGCAGAAGGGGCAAUCGGAAUUCUUGGUGUAGCGGUGAAAUGCGUAGAUAUCAAGAGGAACACCUGAGGUGAAGACGGGUUGCUGGGCUGACACUGACGCUGAGGCGCGAAAGCCAGGGGAGCAAACGGGGAUUAGAUACCCACGUAGUCCCUGAGCGGGCUGGCAAGGCGCAU